GACAGUUAUUAAACUAGGUAACAUGUGAAUAGGCAUCAAUACAAUAGCCCAUUAGUAUUUACAGCUGCUGAUACAUAGACAGUUAUUAAACUAGGUAACAUGUGAAUAGGCAUCAAUACAAUAGCCCAUUAGUAUCUACAGCUGCUGAUACAUAGACAGUUAUUAAACUAGGUAACAUGUGAAUAGGCAUCAAUACAAUAGCCCAUUAGUAUCUACAGCUGCUGAUAUAUAGACAGUUAUUAAACUAGGUAACAUGUGAAUAGGCAUCAAUACAAUAGCCCAUUAGUAUCUACAGCUGCUGAUAUAUAGACAGUUAUUAAACUAGGUAACAUGUGAAUAGGCAUCAAUACAAUAGCCCAUUAGUAUCUACAGCUGCUGAUAUAUAGACAGUUAUUAAACUAGGUUACAUGUGAAUAGGCAUCAAUACAAUAGCCCAUUAGUAUCUACAGCUGCUGAUAUAUAGACAGUUAUUAAACUAGGUAACAUGUGAAUAGGCAUCAAUACAAUAGCCCAUUAGUAUCUACAGCUGCUGAUAUAUAGACAGUUAUUAAACUAGGUAACAUGUGAAUAGGCAUCAAUACAAUAGCCCAUUAGUAUCUACAGCUGCUGAUAUAUAGACAGUUAUUAAACUAGGUAACAUGUGAAUAGGCAUCAAUACAAUAGCCCAUUAGUAUCUACAGCUGCUGAUAUAUAGACAGUUAUUAAACUAGGUAACAUGUGAAUAGGCAUCAAUACAAUAGCCCAUUAGUAUCUACAGCUGCUGAUAUAUAGACAGUUAUUAAACUAGGUAACAUGUGAAUAGGCAUCAAUACAAUAGCCCAUUAGUAUCUACAGCUGCUGAUAUAUAGACAGUUAUUAAACUAGGUAACAUGUGAAUAGGCAUCAAUACAAUAGCCCAUUAGUAUCUACAGCUGCUGAUAUAUAGACAGUUAUUAAACUAGGUAACAUGUGAAUAGGCAUCAAUACAAUAGCCCAUUAGUAUCUACAGCUGCUGAUACAUAGACAGUUAUUAAACUAGGUUACAUGUGAAUAGGCAUCAAUACAAUAGCCCAUUAGUAUCUACAGCUGCUGAUACAUAGACAGUUAUUAAACUAGGUAACAUGUGAAUAGGCAUCAAUACAAUAGCCCAUUAGUAUCUACAGCUGCUGAUACAUAGACAGUUAUUAAACUAGGUAACAUGUGAAUAGGCAUCAAUACAAUAGCCCAUUAGUAUCUACAGCUGCUGAUACAUAGACAGUUAUUAAACUAGGUAACAUGUGAAUAGGCAUCA
This is a long non-coding RNA of Oncorhynchus keta (chum salmon), 1270 nucleotides long. RefSeq lists it as uncharacterized. NCBI's taxonomy places the organism in Eukaryota, Metazoa, Chordata, Actinopteri, Salmoniformes, Salmonidae. The transcript has 4 exons. The record is from RefSeq and is a predicted model, not a curated record.